UUUCCCUACGGGAGGCAGCAGUGGGGAGUAUUGGGCAAUGGACGCAAGUCUGACCCAGCAACGCCGCGUGAAGGAAGAAGGCUUUCGGGUUGUAAACUUCUUUUAAGGGGGAAGAGCAGAAGACGGUACCCCUUGAAUAAGCCACGGCUAACUACGUGCCAGCAGCCGCGGUAAUACGUAGGUGGCAAGCGUUGUCCGGAUUUACUGGGUGUAAAGGGCGUGCAGCCGGAGAGGCAAGUCAGAUGUGAAAUCCGCGGGCUCAACUCGCGAACUGCAUUUGAAACUGCUUCCCUUGAGUAUCGGAG
RNAcentral lists this ribosomal RNA (305 nucleotides) under uncultured bacterium. Its description in RNAcentral is "bacterial SSU rRNA". It matches the Rfam family "Bacterial small subunit ribosomal RNA", at positions 334 to 654 of the family's 1533-position model. The record is from RNAcentral.